Molecule: non-coding RNA, 26 nt
Filed under: Mus musculus (house mouse)
Lineage: Eukaryota; Metazoa; Chordata; Mammalia; Rodentia; Muridae
Source: RNAcentral
UGCAUUGAUAUAUGAGGUGUGAUGAG